AGGACGAACGCUGGCGGCGUGCCUAACACAUGCAAGUCGAACGAGGUCCAUCCAGUAGCAAUACUGGUGAAGACCUAGUGGCGAACGGGUGAGUAACACGUGAGCAAUCUGCCCUUCACAUCGGGAUAACCCCCGGAAACGGGAGCUAAUACCGGAUACGACCACUUCAGGCAUCUGAUGGUGGUGGAAAGUUCUGGCGGUGGAGGAUGAGCUCGCGGCCUAUCAGCCUGUUGGUGAGGUAAUGGCCCACCAAGGCUUCGACGGGUAGCCGGCCUGAGAGGGUGACCGGCCACGACUGGGACUGAGACACGGCCCAGACUCCUACGGGAGGCAGCAGUGGGGAAUAUUGGACAAUGGGCGAAAGCCUGAUCCAGCAACGCCGCGUGAGGGAUGACGGCCUUCGGGUUGUAAACCUCUUUCAGCGCAGACGAAGCGAAAGUGACGGUAUGCGCAGAAGAAGCACCGGCCAACUACGUGCCAGCAGCCG
This 487-nucleotide ribosomal RNA is filed under the name uncultured bacterium. Its description in RNAcentral is "SSU rRNA". It matches the Rfam family "Bacterial small subunit ribosomal RNA", at positions 26 to 517 of the family's 1533-position model. The record is from RNAcentral.